GAAGAGGCUUUUGCCCAAUCCCCGCGCGUGCUCCGCUUCCAAUCCUCCUCGCGGGGUGGCGCAGCCCACACCCGCCCCAACCCUAGCCGCCACACCUCUCCUUCCUCCCUCGCUUGACACCAUAGGCGCUGCACCCCCUCCCCUCCUCCUGCUCGGGCGGAUAGCCGCCGGCCGCCGCAUCCCUUCUCCCCCUUCCUCCUCCUUCCUCCUUCCCGCUGGCGCCCAUCGCCCUCGUCCUCGGACAAGGGGCCUUCCGCAGGGAUGGCCACGUCUUCAAACCAGGGGUAGAGGAGCAGGGGAGGGUCAAGAAGCCAGCACUGGGGGUGGAGCAGCCAGGCCAAGGAGGACCCAGGUGGUGGACGCGUCAUGGUGUUAAGGACAGGCCGAUGAUAGGGAUAAGUAGGAGGAGUGCCAUGGAUCUGCAGGGAAAGGAGGGCGAUGCCCUCGGCGGGUGUCCGAGCAGGAAGCCGGCGGGGAGCACAUCACCGUAGGCGUCAAGGGAGCCAUGGACAAGCCGCCAGGAGGAGAAAGCUCCUAGUUUGUGGAGGAGACUAUGUGACAGGUGGUGUUUUGGAAUCUAGAUUGAUUUGGUACUGUAUGUUGUGUGAUGUGCCCUUGCCAAGAAUAUUUGAUGUGUGUGAUGACACAAGCAAUUGUAGAGGAGUGAACACCAUGCUCGAUUAGUGGACUGCCGCUUGAGAAGAAGCUUGUCAUUUGUCUCUUCGAGCCGCGGCGGAUAGGGGCCUUCGAAGAAUUUGGGGUUUGACAUAGCCAUCGAGGAAGUGCAGGAUACAAACCAAGUGUAAUCAAAGAGGAUAUGGAUUCAGUACGGCCAUGAGUGAAGGAAUGUUACUCCAAUUUGGAUCUUGGAGAAUGUUUUCUCAGUGUGGUUCAGGUUAAAUUGUUGUCCUACUGUUCCUGCUCAGCCUCCUAAUGUUCUAUGUCUUCGCCGCGCCUUCUUCCAGCUUCUCUAUUGGUUUUCUCUUCACACCGAUGUAAGUGCAUGUUCCUCCCUUCCUCCAAAUCUUCUCAAGCCAUGGUUGUUUGCAUCUGGUCACAGUUUUUUCAUGUUUCACUUCCGUUGGUGGUUCACACGUCGGCCUUAGUGCUCUAAGCAAACCAGCAUUUCUCAUAUUGGCGAUUGUAUUAUUGGGGCUUUGCUACAUCUGUAGGUUUGAAUCUCAUGUGGCUCCUGCGCCCAGCCACCAUCUCCUCCCUAGCUAAGCAAGAGGUUCAAAGGCCACCGCUACCUCUUCCUUGCCGCCCAGCAGGAGGGGCACUAGGUGUGCCUCAUGUUUAGUUAAUGCCCACUGAUUGUGAUGUUCAUUCUGUGGGGAAUUUUGUUUACUUUUUAUAUUUUGUGCAUUUUCUAUUUCAUGUAUUGGUCAGUGGUCCUAAAUCCCAUGUGAUUUCUUCAUUCUUCAGGCAAAUUACAUAUCAGGAGAGCCAUUUAUUAGAGGAUCUUCUAAAAGGCUUUUUACAUUUGGUUCCUGAUGUUCUGCUUCUCGGGGUUUGCUCACUUCUUUUCUAGCUAGAAAUACCAUAUUUUCCUCUCUGCGUGUACUGUCUUGGUGUUUGGUUCACUACUCGUCUUAAUAUUCCGGAUUUAGCGGGGCAUCAUGUUUUGUUCAGCCUCAUGCUCCUAAGUGUAUCUCACAUUGUAUAGGAACCUGUCCUGCGAGGACCUUGCCUUUUAUGCUUCUUUCUUGAUAAUAGAAGUAUUGAAUAUACCUGUUUCUUGUGCUCAAACAUUUUGGCUAGGUGGCAAUAUUCCAAAUAAAUGGAUGUAUCUCGAACAAAGGAGAUGUCUGAUGCAGUGAGUUGAAGUCGCUUAAUCAAGGAGAAAUUAGGCUUGUGACGCAAUUAUAUGGUUAGCAGGAAAGUUUAAACGUGAAAAAUCAGACAAAACUCUAGCAAUAUUACGUUCUAUAAACGAUUUGGCAAUUGCAUUCAGUAUCAGGUUGUGUUCAUAAUUUUGUACUUGACAGUUGUAGCUUUGAACCUACAUAGUGUUGGCAGUUGCUUGAUGAAGCCAAACUUACAACUCGAUAUUUUUAAUUUAUGCUGCAACUUGAUUAGGAAUUUCCUAUGUUAAUUUGGAACCACACAAAUUCUUAUCACGUCAUGGCUUGCUUGGGAUUCAAUUGCAGGAAGAAACUGUAUUGAACUUGCAUAAUUUUUCUUCAGAAAUAGUAUUGAAUCGGCUACUUGUUGGCAAUUUCAUGUUACAAAGUCGUCAUUAAGCGAAGAGACAGGGCAGGGGAGGACGAGGCGAAGGGGGAUGGAGAAGUGGUCGAGCUGGAGGCGUACAGGCAGGGCACCCAGAAGACGGAGCUGUGCAACAAGUGGGAGGGCGGCGCCUGCUCCUACGGCGGCUAGUGCCGGUUCGCGCACGGCCUGCAGGAUGAUGGUUUCUUAAUUUCCUUGACUAACCAGGGAAUUCAAGGAUGAUGACUGAAAGUUUUGUCAUUACUGGUUAACACUUGGCGACGAUGUGUCCAUCAGAAAUGAUCCGAUUAUCCUCUGUUGUAUUAUAUUUCCUACUUUUUGUAAAUAUGUAUGGAUGUACAUGCACGCUCUUUCGAUGUCUGAAAAUGUCUGUCAUCCCUCAGUGGGCAAAGAUGAUUUUGUUGAACAGUUUCAGUAUAUGUUACAUACCGUAUUCUUUCCAAUGUAGAAGGUAGCAGCUGACUCUGCAUUGAUGUGGUGCUUA
Triticum dicoccoides is the source of this 2713-nucleotide long non-coding RNA. RefSeq lists it as uncharacterized. NCBI's taxonomy places the organism in Eukaryota, Viridiplantae, Streptophyta, Magnoliopsida, Poales, Poaceae. The transcript has 6 exons. The record is from RefSeq and is a predicted model, not a curated record.